UCUCCCAGACUUGAAAAGGACUAUAUCAAAAAGACACUGAAAUAGUUUGGUACAUUGAAUUCAGAUAGAAAAAGCGAUUUUAUAACUUUUCAUCUUUUAUCUCUUAAUGAUGGAUUCAAAGGAAAAGAGGAUGGAUGUCGGACGGAUCGUAUCAAUUUCCCUGAUUUUAAUAGUUUUUUUUACAGUUGCGUCAUCUUCAACAACUGCUGCCCCCACAACUCCUGCACCAACGACUGCUUCACCUACAACUGCAUCACCUACGACAGCAGCACCUACUACUGUUGCAACAACAACAGCAGCACCUACA
Molecule: long non-coding RNA, 307 nt
Organism: Trematomus bernacchii (emerald rockcod)
Lineage: Eukaryota; Metazoa; Chordata; Actinopteri; Perciformes; Nototheniidae
Exons: 3
Source: RefSeq, a predicted model, not a curated record